This 451-nucleotide ribosomal RNA is filed under the name uncultured bacterium. RNAcentral's name for it is "partial 16S ribosomal RNA". It matches the Rfam family "Bacterial small subunit ribosomal RNA", at positions 354 to 796 of the family's 1533-position model. The record is from RNAcentral.
GUUAGGAAUAUUGGACAAUGGGGGGAACCCUGAUCCAGCCAUGCCGCGUGUGUGAAGAAGGCCUUUUGGUUGUAAAGCACUUUAAGCGAGGAGGAGGCUACCGAGAUUAAUACUCUUGGAUAGUGGACGUUACUCGCAGAAUAAGCACCGGCUAACUCUGUGCCAGCAGCCGCGGUAAUACAGAGGGUGCAAGCGUUAAUCGGAUUUACUGGGCGUAAAGCGCGCGUAGGUGGCCAAUUAAGUCAAAUGUGAAAUCCCCGAGCUUAACUUGGGAAUUGCAUUCGAUACUGGUUGGCUAGAGUAUGGGAGAGGAUGGUAGAAUUCCAGGUGUAGCGGUGAAAUGCGUAGAGAUCUGGAGGAAUACCGAUGGCGAAGGCAGCCAUCUGGCCUAAUACUGACACUGAGGUGCGAAAGCAUGGGGAGCAAACAGGAUUAGAAACCCUGGUAGUCC